AGUGAACGCUGGCGGUAGGCCUAACACAUGCAAGUCGAACGGCAGCACAGUAAGAGCUUGCUCUUACGGGUGGCGAGUGGCGGACGGGUGAGGAAUACAUCGGAAUCUACUUUUUCGUGGGGGAUAACGUAGGUAAACUUACGCUAAUACCGCAUACGACCUACGGGUGAAAGCAGGGGAUCUUCGGACCUUGCGCGAUUGAAUGAGCCGAUGUGGGAUUAGCUAGUUGGCGGGGUAAAGGCCCACCAAGGCGACGAUCCGUAGCUCGUCUGAGAGGAUGAUCAGCCGCACUGGAACUGAGCCACGGUCCAGACUCCUACGGUAGGCAGCAGUGGGGAAUAUUGGACAAUAGGCGCAAGCCUGAUCCAGCCAUACCGCGUGGGUGAAGAAGGCCUUCGGGUUGUAAAGCCCUUUUGUUGGGAAAGAAAAGCAGCAGGUUAAUACCCCGCUGUUCUGACGGUACCCAAAGAAUAAGCACCGGCUAACUUCGUG
Molecule: ribosomal RNA, 492 nt
Filed under: uncultured bacterium
Lineage: Bacteria
Description: partial 16S ribosomal RNA
Rfam family: Bacterial small subunit ribosomal RNA
Source: RNAcentral